Molecule: ribosomal RNA, 460 nt
Filed under: uncultured bacterium
Lineage: Bacteria
Description: partial 16S ribosomal RNA
Rfam family: Bacterial small subunit ribosomal RNA
Source: RNAcentral
CCUACGGGAGGCAGCAGUGAGGAAUAUUGGUCAAUGGACGAGAGUCUGAACCAGCCAAGUAGCGUGAAGGAUGACUGCCCUAUGGGUUGUAAACUUCUUUUAUAAAGGAAUAAAACGAGGCACGUGUGCCUUUUUGCAUGUACUUUAUGAAUAAGGAUCGGCUAACUCCGUGCCAGCAGCCGCGGUAAAACGGAGGAUCCGAGCGUUAUCCGGAUUUAUUGGGUUUAAAGGGAGCGUAGAUGGGUUGUUAAGUCCGUUGUGAAAGUUUGCGGCUCAACCGUAAAAUUGCAAUUGAUACUGGCAGUCGUGAGUACAGUUGAGGUAGGCGGAAUUCGUGGUGUAGCGGUGAAAUGCUUAGAUAUCACGAAGAACCCCGAUUGCGAAGGCAGCUUACUAAACUGUGACUGACAUUGAUGCUCGAAAGUGUGGGUAUCAAACAGGAUUAGAUACCCUUGUAGUC